Molecule: long non-coding RNA, 3649 nt
Filed under: Mus musculus (house mouse)
Lineage: Eukaryota; Metazoa; Chordata; Mammalia; Rodentia; Muridae
Description: long non-coding RNA chr15:78140461-78144110
Source: RNAcentral
AAGAGACUCAGUGAAUGAUGACCACAGAAAAUGCUGAGAGCGGAGCCCUGGAGACGAGCCCGGCCCUGCUGUAAGGGCAGGCUGAAUGGGAAGAGCGCAGCCCUGACCAUGGUACGUGCGGGUGAGGGUACUCCAGCCUCAGGACAGACCUAAGCUCAGAUCCCAGCAAUGCUCCCUUGCUUAUGGCCGCUGGGUGAAGGACUGAUUAUCUCAGGGCUCCCUGGAGCAAGGUUGGCAGGGCCUGGGCAUGAAGUAGAUGCUCAGAAAAUACCUAGUACUUCCUCCAAGGGGCAAAGCGAAUCCUUUCCUGUCUUUCAUGGAGGGACCUCAAUCCUGCAUCUCUCUGCACUGUCCAAAGUGGGAAAGGGUUCCUGUUGGCAGCAGGGGAUCUAGUCUGGGAAGGUCACGGGAUCUCUGACAGUGUUUGCAAGGAUGACACCUUACCCACCCCAGGACCUUUCUUAUUUAGGUAGGAUUGGGUCAGACACACAAAACCUGUUUGCUUUGGGCUUGUGGUGUUGGGGAUGGAGCCCAGGGCCUGGAGUGUGCAUAAGUGUACUGCCACUGAGCUAUACCACCAGACCCACCUUGCUCACCUCAGAAAUAUAAAUGGCAACCUUACAGGAAGCUGUCCUCUUCGUCUUUGGGCCAAGUCUUGGGGUACUGCUCUUUGAGGUGCCAGGCCUUCUCUGAGGCACUUGACCUAAACUCAGCUUACAAGACUAUCUUGGACCUUGUCUAGAGCAGAAGGGAUGAAUUUGCUCCCUUAAAAGAGGAAACAGAAACAAGACUAUCACCCAGCCCUGAUAAGGUAGCUGGCAUCUCUGCCCUAUGCUAUACCCUAGACUCUCAUCCUAUGCCAGCAUUGGUAUCUUCCUUGAAAAUCCCCUGCUUCAGCCAGCCCCUGUAGGCUCCCCUUGUCCGUGAUCCAGUGCCCUGUCUGGAGAGCCAUUCUCCACAGUGGGAGCCCUCUGUCCCCUGCGUACAUUGUGCUAUGACAGGGACGCAGAAUAGGCCUCACACAGCAGGUGGCCUUUUGUCUUCAAUGUCUGUCCUCUAGAGGACAGUACUGUGGCAUCCAGGAAGGAUGGCCUUCGGUUGGGAGGCCCAUGCUGUCAGCAGGACGUCAUUCUUACCUGACAGAUACUCAUGUUCGGGCAGAGCAUGCUCAAUAGCUGGCACGAACCAGCCACAGAGCAGUAUUAGCAGGCUGGGCUGGUGGGUGGCCUGUGAGAGCAGGAAGCAUGACCUCCUCGCUCCGGGACCGUGUUUCUUGUCCUGCAGUUUUGCAUGUGGCUCUUGGCCAAGGACUGCUGGACUCAUUGUCCCUCCAGCACAGCAUCCAUAGUAACGUUGUUAGGAGAGAUGGUUGUGGGGGUUCUGAGAAACUGCUGUGCAAUCCAGCCUGUGACUCUGAUAGUAGUCAGAGGCAUCUAUCGUCACAGCCCAUUGGUCUCAGCACUCUGAGAGGUGGCAUGUGCCCAUUUUCUGGACCAGUAAGUUGAAGCAGAGGGAUGUUGCUAGCAGAUACAGAAGGGUAUCUGCUUGGUACCUCUCAUUCAAGGACAGCUCAGGCAUUUCUCCUGGUUCAUUACAGGGAGACAUAGACCAGAUUCCUCCAGAGCCAGCUCCAUGUGAUUGCCCUGGGAGUGCAUCUCCAUGCUGACAUGAUCUCAGCUGCUUACACUCGUGAGAACUCCAUCCGUAUCCUAGGUCAUGUCAGGUCCCUUGAGGACAAUUGGGAUUGCCACAUGAUGCUGGCAACACAUUAACAACUCCCUAAUUCCUGGCUGUAGAUGUCCCUGCCUAUGUCACAUAGAUUAGCACCUCCAGCUUCCUCACCAUGCUCCAGUGGCUGGAAGGGGCUGACUCUAUUGCAUGAUCCCACACUGUUGAGCUAAUGCAGAGCCUGUAAGACUGAAGAGUCUGUAUAAUCGGAGUAGACUUAGAAUACCUGUAUUCACCAGCUCAGACUCCCAUAUCUCUCAAGAUAGGAGCCCCAGACUCAUAGUGGCUUCCUGUGGCCUCCAGGCUUGGGAUUUUGCCAUGCUGGGUGCGCACUGAACCAUGGACUGGGAAACUGCUUGAGGAUAGAGGCAGGGCUCCUAUCAGUGUGUUGAGCUGGCCCAGACAGUGUUGCUGAGUGGAACAAGUGUGACAAGAUCCAGAAGAGAACAAAGACAUACCGAAGACCCUUUCAAGGUCGCCGGCUGGCAGGGAACGAGCACUGUCGUGUUGUUUGAUCAUUUAUUUAUACUCUAUUUUUGAGCAGAACUCGAGGCACCCAAGAUGAAAGGCAGAGCAACACCAGAAACAAAAGCUCAUGUCUUGAGCUCUCCCGCUUCUCGCCCAGCGCUUCCUCGAGUCCUGAAAGCCUGCUCCGAUCUGUCUUCUGAGUCAAGGCACUGCAGUCUUCCUGUGGUGACAUCCCCUCCAUGCAGCUGUGCCUCCCAACCCGGUCUCUGUGGCCAGGACAUUCCCCCAAGUCUACACUUCUGAAUGACUUCUGUCCUUCUUACCAUGGUAGCUGGGGUCCUGGCUAUGUUUGGAUCAUGAGGUAUGAUGUAACUCCAGACCUACGUCAGCUGAGCUUAGGGAGUCAGAACUAGACCAUCCAGUGGCUCUGAGUCCUCGAUAUGCUCUGGUCACUCCCCAACCCACCAGGGAACACCACCCUGAAUCUCAGAGCAUCUUUUGUAUCGGAUCUCAGGGCACAAGGCUACAGUCUGGUCUGUGCUGCUGUGUUGAGAAUUGUGCAGCCUGGUUGCCUGUGGCACAGGUGGGCAUGGCACAGGUCUCUUGCCUGUCAUCAUGUUUUGGGGUCAGGAGAAACAUACUGACUGGCUAAAGAAGGAGGUGUGAUGAGACUGGAAGGAGACAGGACCAGGCCCCAUCACUAGCCAUGUUCCUAAGGGUCUCAUUGCUGGGCACUGAGAUGGUAGCAAUACUGGGGCUGGAUCCUUCUCAUCUUGAGAGCUGCUCACUUUCUGUCUGCUCCCAGAGACCAAGCCAGAAUGCAGCAUGCAGCUCUCAAACCUGUCACAUCUGCCAACUGUGAGACAGUGGGCAGGGCGCUGGCAUGGGAAGCCCCCUUUGACCUUAUUCAUGCAAGUACUAUGUGCUAACUGAUUUCUCCCCCAAAGCUCCCUUUCUUAAAGACAAGACACAGAAGUCAUCCAGCACCUGUGAUGGUGAAGUUUAUUGUCAAUCUGACAUAGCCCACAACCACCUGGAAUUAAUGAGGGAUUGUCCACACUGGGUAGGCCUGUGAGCAAGCCUGUGGAAGAUUGUCUUUAAUUGAUGUAGGGAGAUGCGGUCCACUGCGGGUAGUUCCAUUCCCUAGGCUCGCACCCCGGACUGUAUAAGAGUAGAGACAUCAAGCUGAGCACAAGCAAGUGAGCACGUGUGCAUCCAUUUCUCUCUGUUUUGACUGCCGAUGUGAAGUGACCAAAGUCAUUGCCUUGACUUCCUGUUAUGGUCGACUGAAACCUGGAAUUGAGAGCUUAAAGCAAAUCCUUUCCCUUCUCAGUCGCUUUUUAUCCGAGUAUAUUAUAACAGCGACAGGAAUUAGAAUGAGAACAUGCCUGUUACAUGCCAGAGAAUCUCCUUCCUGCUUUGCAGUUACAUUUCUCUAAUUCGCCUCACAUUU